This is a long non-coding RNA of Myotis myotis, 9841 nucleotides long. RefSeq lists it as uncharacterized. The transcript is spliced from 14 exons. The record is from RefSeq and is a predicted model, not a curated record. Lineage: Eukaryota; Metazoa; Chordata; Mammalia; Chiroptera; Vespertilionidae.
UUUCUUUGUAUUAUGUGUCAGCUGUGGCUCCAGGACCUCAAUGCUAGUCCAGCAUAUAUUCUGGUCCAUGACUGUUGUGUAAAACCCAAGGCAGAGUUCGGUUUCCUGCCAACUCUUCUCCAGAAAGCUGUGAUUAUUAGAAAUAGCAAUGUUGAUUUCUGGUACAAAAAGAAGCUUGUGAUUUCCUCACUUCUAUAAAAUAACUUUCUGAACCAAAGAACAUGUGCACGUCUCCAAAGACUCCCCUAUUACAGUGUGAAUGUCAGCUGCUCCUUCCCAAGUGAGACCGGGUGGUUUUUCCCAUCAUCUGUAUAUACAGCUGAGUUACUUUCUGGUCCCUUCCCUGGCCCUUUUCUCCUCUACAGUCCUAAUCCAUUCCAACUAUCCUGUGGCCUCAAAUUAAUAAGAAAUUUUUCUUAACUUUUUCUAUCAUAAUUAUUUCUCUCAUUUUUUUUCUGACGGGGGUAGCAGUGAUAUUAUCCCAGUGAACACAUAUGCACCCAUGGAAAUAUCCUCUAAGGAGCGUCCUAUUUCUGUCUGGUAAACAAUGAGGAGACACAGUGCUGACUUUUCUGCACCUUAGUUAUCCAGUCAUCCAUUGACCCUUCAGGCCAAGCCAGAGCCCCUGUAUAAGGAAGACUGGGAGAAGGUACUGGGCCAGUUUGCCGGUAGAAGUUGGAGGGUGUGUGCUGAACACCAUGAAAGUGGAAGUAGCCAUGUAGGGUGGGUGUUUUGUGUGCCAGCCAACACCAUUCAGAGAAAUCUGUUUAGGUUCCAGGGCCAUUACUUUUUACCUUUUCUCAAGAUCAACCAACAUCCUCAAGGGCACUGUUUUUCAAACUAUAAGUCUUGACCCAUUAGUGGUCCAUGAAAUCAAUUUAACAGCUCAAGCCCUGAGUAUUUCAAAAGUGGAAUAGAAAAGAAGAGAGCUGUGCAUGGAGCAAGAUCAAACAUUGUUAAAUACUCUAUAUACUGUGUAUACUAGGUCACAAUAUAAAAUGUUAUUUCCUAUUGUGAAUUGCAGUUUAAAGAAACACAAAACUAAAACAAAAAUGAAAACCUUGAGGCCAUUGCAAGUGGAAGUGCAGGCUGGCCAGUGAUUGUUGAAACAUUUGGACUGUGUGGAGCCUGACCUCAGAUAGGCUCAGAGAGCCACCACUCAGGGAGUCUGCAGAUUGUGAGCGCUCUUGAUCUCUAGAGUGAGAAUAUGGGAUAGCUCUUGUUUUGGUUUAUAAAAUGUUUUCCUUUCAUGGUGUGUAAAACCAGGCAUCAGUGGGACCAGAAAAAGAAUAGAAAAGUUCGAUCCACAAACAGUGCCCCAAAAGGCCACAGGAUAUUAACUUGAUGCAUUUCAGCCUGCCUCCUACUAAGCAUUUUGCUAGGAGUGGAGACAGAGGUUCUUCUUUGAAUUUGCUUCAACUACCUUCUCUCGGAUUCAUCAUGCAGGUAGCAAAGGCCCUUAAAAAUAGGGAGCUAGUAUACAUAGGCUACAUUCUUCCGGGGCCAAACUGCUCAUUCAUUGGAGGGUGCUAUAAAAAUGCCAAUGCAAUUUAGCUGAAAAUAAUUAGAUUUCCUCAUUUCUGUGGGAUUCAAGUAGGAAAUGUAGCUAACCUGCAUUCCUUAUGCAGUAUUCAAUACACAAUUUAUUCAUCCUGAUUUUCUUCGGUGCUACCCUGUUUAUCACUUAAAGCUCCUUUCCAUAUUCUUAAGGGAAGCAUUUACCCUCUUGGCCUCACCUUUGAAAUGAUGCCUUCCUGCUAAUGCUAACCUAAUCAAGUGGGCAUUAAUCUGUUAAAUUUCUUAUGGUUCUUGUUAUCUACAUUUUUGAUAAUUGGCUGUUAGUGCAGCUAUUAGUGCAGAUUUCCCCCCCCCCGUACUUUUCUGCCACAAUUGGUAUAAAGUAGUACUUGUUUCAGGGCUCUCCUUCAAGCAGCUCAGCACACGUACUGAGAAGAUACUGGGUCUUAUGUGAUUUGUUGCCCUUGAGUUGGCUCUGACUCCUGGCGACUCUGAAUGAGUGAUGUCCACAGUGUCCUGUCCUCGGCAGCCCUGCUCAGCUCCUGUAGACUCCUGCCUAUGGCUUCUUUUAUGCAGUCAAUCCACCUACUUGUUCUUCCUCUUUUCCUGCUGCCUUCUGUUUUCCCCAGCAUCAUUGUUUUUUCCAAAGAAUCCUGCCUUCUCAUGAUGUGCCCAAAGUAGGACAGUCCUACACUAUUACAAACCUCCUUCAUGUUUCUUUACUUGAAACAAUUUUUACUUUAUUGCCUCCUUUGUAAAAUAAAUUGUUCUAUAUUGUUUUUUUAAAGUUUUACUUUAGAAUUACAAAUUCAUUCUUUUUUAAAAAGCAUUAUGACAUUUUCCAAAAAAGAUAAUUUUGGUUACCCGAAGAGCUCUAUGAGAGGUGUAACUUCAAAUUUUAUCGAUUGUUAGGAGUGUGUUUAAAUUCUUUUUACUUUAUACAAAUACAAAUUAUAUUAUAGUUUAACACCUGCUAUGAUAGACUUAUGUCAACCUGUCACUGAGCACCAUUCAUUUAGUAUUGCUCUGCUCCCUUAAUAAUGUGUUUCUCCUAAGGGUGUCCUUGCAACAAGAAACCCUGUGUGAGUGAUAUAAUAAAAAGUCUAAUAAUCAUAACUGUACUUAAAGUAGAAAAUGUUGGAAAACCUCAACGUUUCUUAAUAUGCUAUCAUACCACCAGCAUCCCAUUGGCUACCCCAAGGUUACCAAUUUGGGGACUGAAAAACAUCCAAGUGAAAAUGUAGAUGACAUUGAAAUGGCAAUAAUUUCAUAUCCAUACUCACAAACUAUCAGAAAUUGUAUCUGGGGCUUGUUGCAAGGUCAGAUAGAUUGUCACAGACUUUUUUAAAUAGUCAUAUCUGGAUGUAAAUAUGUAUAUUACAUAUAAAAAUGAAUUUUUCAGGGAAUGUGCACUUUAAAACUUGUUAAUUUUUGUAUUAAUCAAAUAGUGCUUCUUUGGAAUGCUUAUUCUUUGGUAAAAUACAGUCAUUGAUGAUGAUAAUUUGUUUAUUAAAUGGCUCUUUCUGUAUCUGCAGUAUUUCCUUCACUCUUGUGUUCCCUAUCCCUUUUAUGUGGGCUCCUGGCCCGAUUGCCUGUUACACAGUCUCUGCUUUGCUUUUGUGCAUUCUGAUAAGAUAGUUUAUAAACACAAAUGUUUACAAUGAAGUUCUUCCUUUUGAAAUUAAUGUCCUUUUCCCCCCUUUGGUUGGCUAUGCUCACUAAUGACUAAUUUUUCUAAACAAUAAUUAUUUCUUGCUAUUGGUAGGAUUAAAUUACUUGGUCAGGUGAUUGCCCAGUUUAAUUAUGUAUAUCAUUUUUAAAUAAAUUAAGUCAAAUAAAUAUUUCUGGUUUUUCAGUCCUCCUCUGUUUUUCCUUAACUGGAUCAAACUAGAAAUAUUACCAAUAAUCUUUUCCUUGCCUACCUAAACCCUACCCUCUUUGGGGCCUAAAUAAGUGUGGACAUCUAACAGAUUGCCAAGGUCCUGAUUUUUCAGUCAAAGCCAGCGACAGCAUCCAGCCCAGCAUGAUUGUUGCUGGCUAAAAGCUUGAAAGCAUCAAGACUGUGCCUCUCAACCUCAGAAAACUUCAAAUGGCUCAUUUCCGCAAUAAGUAAUGAGUAUCUUCUGAAAGAAGGGCUAGGAGGGUAUUUUCUUCCUGCAGAAUUAACAUUGACAGAAAUAGUUAAUUCACCUUUGAUAUGGAGAGUUCAGCCUUUUCCUUAAGAAGAUUCUUCACUACCUUUGGUUACGAUUUAUUUGACAGCCCUCCUGCACUUACAAGUGAUCAAAAGCCAUCAUCUUCUUGCAUGCUUUGUCAGCCAAAGCCUCCCACUUGGAAGAGCUCCAGCAGAAUGAGAACCCAGCUGCCCUAACUGCUGAUAGAAGACUUAGUACCAUUCCGGGAACACCGACACACUGUUCCACAGCACACCUCACUAAUCUGGCCUGCAGACAGGACCCUGGAACACUGGCAGAAGCAGCCAAGGAUAAGAAGCCUGCUCUCCCGAAUCUCUGUACUGCCCCAUGGAGAGAGGACGGGAAAAAUCAUCUGCCCGUUCCUUCUCAUCAUUUAGGUAAGCAGGAAACAAUAUUUAUAUGAACUAGUCCCUUGGGUAUAGAUGUUGGUAAAGAUUUUAUUAUACACUCGUUUUCUAUUGAUCCCUCCCCUCCCAGAGAUGUUUUCUGUUAUCUCUGUCUUUUGUGUUGUUUGUCAUAAGGAGGAAAACCAUAGGCCAGAUGAGGUUUUCCUCCUGUCUUAAUCUAUGUCUUAAGAACUUGGCCUUUUGACCAGUUCAAGAAUACUCUGUGGUCUCCACCAGCCGGAAGAUGCCAGUAUGGGCUUGUCUCUAGCAGCCAACCGAAUAGGCUGGGAAUCAGACACACAACAAGGAUUGUCUUGGACUAUUGGUCUGCUCCUGAUAAAAGAUUGUGAAGGGUUUUCCACUUUUAGGAGUUUGAUAGCUUGCUAUGACGUGCACUAACCACUAGGGGGCGGCGCGGAACAUGGCAGGUGUCGGGAUGCAGCGCUGGAGGCACUGCCAGCCCCGAUGGGCCCUGACGAAAGCGGGACUGAGGCGGGAUGGUGGAUCAGGUUUAAAGAAACUUUCCUUUUCUGCUAAACUAUCUAUGACUUACAGCAAUUUGGUCUCACUUCGGGAGCCCACCUGCAACACUGCCUCCUGAAAUGAGACACAGCCAUUUAACUGAACAGACCUCUUCUCAAGAUUAAGAGACCCAUCCAAGGACACAACCUAACUAUUCAUCAGCUCAGCCUCUGGACUGUUGGUUUCCUGUGGAGGGUCAGAGGUUCAGCUGGAGGAUGGUGUCCUUGACGGCAGCGAAGACAAAGCGGAUGUUCUCCGUGUCCGUGGCGCACGUGAAGUGGGAGUAGAUGACCUUCUCCUUGUCAGGGUUCUGGUCCUGAUAGAGCUUCAGGAUAAAGUCUCUGGCGGCUUUGACGUCUUGCUUUGGUCCUGGUUCCAAGCACAGUUAGAGGGAUAAAGAAGAAAGAUGCCACUCACCACCAGGAUUGUUCACAGCGUCAGCCCUGGGACACCCAUUCUAUUGGGUGUAGCCUCCACACUUUGUGUCAGAAGUCGGGGGACAAAGAGAGGAAGACUGGCUCUUCAGCAGGGCCACCACCGUUAGAAAUGCCGGAGAGAAGGGGCCCAGCGCACAUGUGCACACGUCCCAUGCAGCCAGGACCUGGUCGUAUUCACUCAGCGCAACCAAGAAUAUGAUGGAGGUGACGCUCUCAAAGCAGUGGAUCCACUUCCGCCUUUCGGAUCGCUGGCCACCCACGUCCACCAUCCUGUCCAACAGAAACACAGGUCUCAAAGGCUGGGUUCGUGGCUCUGGAGGAGGGCGUGCUCAUUCCACCAUGGAAAUCAGUACGUCUUGGCUGCCUCUGUGAUCUUCAGGAGUGAAAAGGGGUCCUGAGACUGAAAGGUUUGAGCACCUCUGCUUUCGACAAUGAGGAACCACCAGGCGUUUCCCAGCAGGGGAGGAUGGAGUGUCAAACGGAUACUCGAUGAUGCCAGUUGUGGGUACGCGAACACGAAGCACAUCUUGCUGCGUCGGCACAUAUGACGGCAAGGCGAUCCGGUCAAUAUCAGUCAGGCUGCCCUCCUCUUUGGGAAACUGCCUCCCUUCCUUCUGCCUCUUUUCUGAAGUUCCAACACCUUAGCGGGACUCCUUGCAUUUCCUUUCCUGCUUUGCACAUAAAUGUUCCUGAGCUCAGAUCAAUUGUGCGAACCUGGAUUAAUGGAUUAAACAUUCAGCCUGGGACCAACCCCAAAGAUUUUAGGGUAAUUGGACCUUGGGUCUACUGAUCAGGAAUUCCGAAGGCAAAGAGGUGUGGAGAGGAGGAAAGUAGAAGCCAGAAGCAGAUGCAGUCCUCCUCUAAGAUCAUUUCAGCACCCCAAAUGAGAUCAGUUCCACCAAGGGAACACCACAUUUGCUUUCGCCUCAUUGAAAAGGACAGAGGCUCGGGACAUGGCUGGGACAGCAAUUGAAAAUGAUAAGAAGGUUGGCCUUCCCUCACAUGUCCACGUGCUGGUCCCGGAGACUCAGCAUCCCAUCCUCGGCUGCAGGCUGCAGCAGACCAGAGAAUUCUGCCAAGAGAGAGGAGCCGGCCCCUUCUUCACUCUCGCAUCCUGCAGAGUCUCCCAGCAAUUACAUCACGCAGAGCUGGCUAUUCACUGGCAGCUCUGAGUCAGCAGAGCAUCUGUUUGGCAGCUGUGAUCUCCUGGAGUAUAUAUGGUACCCCGGAAAGGUUGCUCUUAUCUUCCAUUGCUCAUUCUCAUUACUAGUCCAACAGGAAGCCAGAGAACAGGGAGCUCUAGAGUCACCUGCUCAGGCACGACCGAGGCUGUGAUGAAAUCAACAUGACGGCACCACAUCCAUCACAGGAGCGGGAAUAACUCACGGCUCGACUGCGGGAUGCUCGGGCAGGCAGGGUCUCCAACAAGGUCACAGCCGGAUGGCGCAGUGGAACAUGCCGGGUGGGGAAUCAGGACCCUGGGUUCUAAGUUGUGCAGUUGGACCUUUAAGGACCCCAACAAGUCAUAUGCCUCAGUGUCCUCAUCUGUAAAAGGAGCCAGUGAUUUUCAGGGGAACCUGAUUUAUAAAGUAUUACCCAAACGUAAGUAGAAUUAACCUUAGUAUUACAGCGGAUGCCUAAUAUUUCUUUUGUGCCAAACAGAUCACAUUGAUAGCCCUGAAACCACUACUUCUAACUCCACCCACUGGCACAUUUGGCAUCAUCUGCCCUGUUCUCAGCCAGAGAGAAUGACAAAUGGAGAACCUGGGCAGCAUUUAUAUGGAGCAGAGGGCUGUCUCCCACUUCCUCCCUCCGCUCUCCACCUCCCUCUCCCCAAAAGGAUCAGGUGGUCUCUUCUCACCCUCUGAAGGUCCAGUGUCUGUGCUUAGCUUUGCCCUCUAAAUUUAAAGAGUCUGUUUUCUUCUCUCUCUUCAUGACCAGUCAGGAAACGCCACAAGGGCAGAGUCAAAGUGCGACUGAUCCUUAUCUCCCAGAACCUGAGACAGUGUCUGACGAAGGACAGGUGCCCCCUAUUGAUGUAGGCGUCCAAUAAGCAUUUGUGGCGUUCAUAAAAAUAUAUCCAACAGGCAAAAUCACAAGGUAACAAUAGCAGAAGGAUGCUAGGGCAGGACGGAAGCCUCUGCCGGUCACAGUUGGGAGCUGGGGGACAGGGAGCCCAAGGGCAGGAAAGUCUCAGAGGAGGAAAUGCUCUUGGCCAAUGUCUCUCACUCUGUUAACUGCUAAGAGGCAGCACUGUGAGAAUCAUCAGGGAUGUUACAAAUACAUCUACCUCUUCUCACACAAUGUAAGAUUGUGAAGUGUAAGUGUAAGCAACAUUCGUCUCUUUUAGAAACAAACUUCAGUCACUCAGGAAGCCUGGUUAAUGGAGGGGCAGAAAACCCCUAGCACACCAGACUGCAUAUGUAGCAUGAGUGAUAAAUCGCCUUUUAUUGUGUUGAGUAAACUAAACUUCAGGGGCAGCUUAUUACUGCAGCAUAACCUACUCUAUCCUGACUGACACAUGUUGCAGUGGAUCAACCCGGCAUCUCGCUCUUCAGUAGAGAGAAAAAGUGCAUCACAGUGACAUAUCAAAGAGGAACGCAGGCUUCCACAGAGGCUGCUGCAGGAUGGAAUCUGGGAAAAGACCUAGACCUGAGCUUUCAGGUAACCAGGGAGGUCAGCCAGGAGAAGAAAACAUUCUGUCUGUUCUGCUAAGUGACAGGACUUUAGGGGAAAUCUGGCCGGAAGGAAGAGGAGAACUCAGUGUCCUUAGAAACCCAACAAUCGGACUUGGGUUUGGAACAGACUGGACUCAGAGGGCCCAGAAGUAUUCCAAGUUUGGAGAUCUCCUCCUGGUUAGCUCUCCCACCUGUCAAGAUAAUUUUUUAAAAACUUCUGAUUUUGAAAUAAUUUGACUUGCAAAAGAUGUGGGGGAAAUGGUACAAGAGUUGCUCUAUGACCUAUGCCUUUCAAGAUUGCCCAAAUACUGACUGGUUUGGCUCAGUGGAUAGAGCGUCGGCCUGUGGACUGAAGGGUCCCAGGUUCAAUUCCGGUCAAGGGCAUGUACCUUGGUUGUGGGUGCAUUUCCAGUGGGGGGUGUGCAGGAGGCAGCUGAUUGAUGUUUCUCUCUCAUCAAUGUUUCUAACUCUCAAUCCCUCUCCCUUCCUCUCUAUAAAAAAAUCAAUAAAAAUAUAUUUAAAAAAAAAGAUUGCCCAAAUAAUGGUUUACUACCUUGCUUUACCAUUCACCCCCUUUCUCUCCAAGUGUGUGUGCACACACGUGCACACACACACUUUUUUCCCUGGAAUAUAUGAGGGGAAGUUGCAGACAUAAUGCCUCUUUAAAGACUUCAGUGGUGUUUUUCUACAAAAACAAGAUUUGCUUGUAUAACCACAGUAUAAUGAUAAAAAUCAGGAAAUUAACAUAGAUUGUAUAGAUACAAUACUGUAAUCUAACCUUUAGACCUUAUUCAAAAUUUUUCCAUUGUCCCAUUAAUGUUAUUUCUCUGCCCAGCCUAGGGUCACAGUGCAUUUAGUUGUCUCUUUAGUUUCCACUGACCAGGAAGGUUCGGCAUUCAAAGAGGUCAUUUUUGCCACUCUGAUCAAGAGGCUUUCCAGAGCUAGAUUUUAUUCAGUAUAGAAAUAUACACUGUAUGAUUAUGGCAAAAAAAAAUAGAUAAAUAAGUAAGUAAAUUGAAUAUAAUAGAAUAAGAAUGGCCUGACCCGGAAUGUUAUUUAAUCAUAGGUCAUAAUGAGGAUGAUGGACAGAGAGAGACGGCCAUAGCCCAGACUCUUAGAAUAUUCCAGGGGUAACUACCCUGAAGGGAAGAGAUGAACAAGGAAGAGAGUGGCCUGUUCUUUAAAUAAAUUGUAUUGAAAUAGGAGAAGAAUGACUUUUGUACAACAGGCCCUCGAAUAAUGCCGUUUCGUUAAACAUAUUAUUGUAAUGUUGGUGAGAUGCCAUAGGAAGGAACUCUGGUUUAUAUCACUUAGCUGGUGGAAGCCCUGGUUUAUGAAGUGUACUUCCACUUAAAGUUGCAGAGCCUAGCUACAACGUUGAGGACUUCCCGUGCACUGUUACCAAUGUCUGUGGUUACAAAGCUCAGGGUUGUGCGCAUAUUCCCUCUGGCUUGGCUGGAGAGUUCCCCAGACAGGAACAUGGGCAUUUUGAUGGGCCUGUUCUAACUUGACAAGGCACCCCCCUUAAAAAGCAGGGCCCCUUAGAAAUUUGGGAACAGUGUGUGCCAUUUAAGACUGGGAAGACAGGGAGAAGAGUUGAAGAGGAUCAGGUUUAGGGAAGUGUGACUGGGGCAGGGGACAUGCUGAAUCUGCGGCCACCAACAUCUAAGUGGAGAUAGAUGUCCAGGACAUGGGUGGGGAAAAUGGUCUGUAGUUCAUGGGGAAAUCCUAGGCUAGAGGAGUACAUGGAAUUGAAAUCGGAAAACAGUGUGGAGUUUCCUCAAAAAACUAAACAUGGAACUGCCAUUUGACCCAGCCAUCCCACUUCUAGGAAUAUACCCUAAGAAACCCAAACACCCACCAGAAAGAAUGUAUGCACUCCUAUGUUCAUAGCAGCACAAUUGACAAUAGCUUAGAUCUGGAAGCAGCCCAAGUGCCCAUCAGCAGACGAGUGGCUAAAAAGGCUCUGGCACAUUUACAACAUGGAAUACUCUGCGGCUGUGACAGAGAAGGAUCUCUUACCCUUCGAGACAACAUGGAGGGACCUGGAGACUAUUAUGCUACGCAAAGUAAGCCAGUCAGAGAAAGACAAGUAUCAUAGGAUC